CUGCACAACACAGAUUUCUAUAUCAUUGCAAUUAUCUUCAACAAAUAGAUUAAUUGCAUUUUAAAUGAGGCUUUUUGGAGGUAUGGCUAAUUCUGGAGACUUAACCCAUCUCAAUGUGCACUCAAAAAAGGGAACUCUGUGAAUUGUUGAAUGAAAUAAACGUACCUACAACAAAAUUAAUUAAUAUAUUUGUGUUGUCAUUUUAAACAUAUCACACUUUAGCAAGUCUAACUUAAAAUUUAGACUUGUAAAAGUCACAUAUCCCACUUUGUGUCAGACAACAUAACAGGGUUGAGUGAAUUCAACAAUUCAAACUUUCCCUUUAUAAAGUCACAUAUUUUUUAUAAAAGCCGUUAAAAGGUUCGCGCAUGCUCAGAACCUCACCCUGAAAAAAAAACGAAAGUGGUGGCGCUACCCGCGACAACUCCGCUCUUCCAUAAGGAACUACCCCAACAAUUAUCACUCUUCUGGUUCCAGUCACAUCAUGUUCUCCAGCAGGCCUAUUGUCUGUCAAGUACAAGCCGUUCCUCGACUUUCCUCAUCUUGUUUGUAAGAAGUGUAAUUGGACGAGACUUUACAGACAGCGAAUGAAGCAAACUACCACAGAACCUCAGAAAACAGACAUUUGGUCAAAUGUCUGCAAGGAAAGAAGCAUAUAAAAAAGAGGAUGACUGCGUACAUUGAAACCUUCAAGCAUGUGGGAAUACAUUUCCAGUCCCCUUCACUCUGCCAUGAAGAGAAUCAUCAAUAUCCAUCUCCUAUCAGUUCCCUUCAAAAUUACAGUCUGUGCUGUGUGAUGCGGCAGAGAAACCUGACAUUUCCCCCCUUCAUCCUUUCAUUCAUCGGGCGACAUAUUGUCAUGGCAACCACGGAGACAGGCACAUCCAUCUUCCAGGACAAAAUGGCACAUGAGGUUUCUGAUAGUUCGUAGUGUGUGGGGAAAACCUCAUCAUGUGAAAGGAAAAACAGUUAUAAUAUCAAUAGAUGCAGCUGUUACUGCGGUGCUCCACUGAUGACGCGUUCCUGUUUCAGAGCCUUUCCUUUAUGACUCUACACUGAGAUGAAACAUACAUGUUGUCAAGAGCAAAUCCUUGAGUCACAGUUGACAGUAUUUACAUUUUAUCUGCCAGCUUUACAGAGAAAGUCCUAUCCAUACUGUGGGGUAUAACUGCAAUGGCUGAUACUACAACAGAAAUUUGGUACUUUAUUCUCUCAAAAAUUGUAUGGAUUUGCUUAAAGACUAUUACAUUUGAAUGAGGAAGUCAAAUUAUCUACCGAGAUACUAAAGAGCUUGCUAAUAAUCCCACUUUUGGGCACUCAUAGACUGUGUAUUGAGCAUUGAACUUUCAUCCCAAACUGGUCAGCUGCUCUUUUAGUAUACAUAACAAGAAUUUGACAUCUCAACAAAAUGAGCUUACUUUGUUGUGACGCAGUAGCAGAUUCUAAAUUGUGCACCCUUCAUCCCAAUACACUAACACUAUACAAAACAGCGGCACAUCAUAGACUACAGACUAAUGCCUAUAUAUCCUAUAUUACAAGAACUGAUGUUUCCCAAAACAUGCUUUGUUUCUAAAUGUCUAGGCCCUCAUAAAAUGUUUUUAGACCCACCAACAUACAUGACAAGAUAAAAAACAACAUGACAGCUGAUUUGAAAAAUGGAAUAAAUUCUAGAAAUUAA
Molecule: long non-coding RNA, 1678 nt
Organism: Girardinichthys multiradiatus
Lineage: Eukaryota; Metazoa; Chordata; Actinopteri; Cyprinodontiformes; Goodeidae
Exons: 2
Source: RefSeq, a predicted model, not a curated record